CCCAGCCCUGUCCAUAGCUUGGCUUUCCUGACUGCUAAGUGGCUGGUACAACCCCAGCUGUGGGGCAGAGGGAAAGCCCCAGCAAACAUCAGCUUCACAGCUUUCAGCUGGUGAGGUCUGCAGUCAGCUGGUUACAACUUCCAGCAGAGUGCCAUGGGGCAAUAAAGGACACAUGGAAAUGGGAUACUCACCCUGGGGAGAGUGUGGGGAAAGCCUUUUUGCACCCUAGUUAUCCUCCUCUGUUGCAUUGUGUGCCUGGCACAGGCCCUUCCCCAAAGAUUAUUGUCAUAAAGCUCUCAGAGAUGCCUGGCACGAGGGGAUGUAACAGCAGGAAGACUGGAGAGCGUCACUACAGGGCGAGCAGCGUCUUGUGAGGUCUGAGAUAAACGGCUCUGGCAGAUCGUGUUCACAGGCAUCUGCAACACUAAGGAGGUGUGCUGCUCUAUCUGCCUCUCUGCUCAAGGUACGUUUAAGGUACCAUAAGUGUCUCUACGGAGAUGACAAUUUCCCUCUCACUACCUCUGCCUCUGGUAGUUGUUGGGAAUAUUGCUGGGCUCCAAAAUUAGAUGGAGAUAGAGAAAAAAUAUCUUAAUUUUAUAAAACUAAAUUCAGAUAGUAAAAUAAUAAUCUGUCCUAUGUUGUGGUUAGGUUCAGGUACUGCACAUCAGGGCUUUUAACUUCUAAGCUUAGCUCUAUCAUUAAUUUGACUUUAGUAUGUAGGCUUGGCUGUGUUUCCUGACUGCUCUAUCAAUUUUCCCAUCACUACCAGUGGAAUAACAGCUCAGAGCACUAAGGAUUUGUUUGUUAAUAUUUGUAGGCCAUUUUGAGAUCCAUUUUGAAUUAUUGUUUGUGGAUUUAGAAGAGUUCCAGCAGUGAUUUCAGAGCACGCUGUGGAUCUGAGGUACCUCCUACAAAAUGGAUUUGGCCUCCGUUCCUUCAUUCUGUUCUCUUGGUCAACUUCUCUGUGCCAGGGAAAGCAGUAACAGAGAAAGGAUGGAGAAUUCCUGCUGCAUUUCCCAAUUCAGAGGAAGAACGCAGCUCCUAAGGUCAGAGAACAUAACUUCCAGCUGAUUAACCAAUACACAAGCUCGAUAUACAAGCUCGGUGUGCAGUGAGCACUGGCUGCCUUUGGCGAAAUGAUGGGAAGGCAGCCAAAGACAAACAUGCUGGAUGUCCGCAGGCUGGAAGAAGAGUAGACAAGGGGAAUUGGAGUCAAAAGCAGUUCUAUGUCCUCUGGUUUGCUGUUGUGUUCAGAUCCCCCAGCCUGAGUGGGAUCUUUGACAUGCUCGUACUGCUGCCAGCUGCAUUCACAUCCAUGCACAUCCUGCAUACAGAUGGUCGGACUGAGCAUCCUGACUUUCUCCUCCAUCAAUUGAGGUGAUACAAUAAUCGUAUCAAGGGAUCUGUGAUGAAAACUAUCAUGCACAUAGAUGAAAGGAGAGGAUCUGAGUAGGAAAAAUGCAGUCUUGUGCUCCGCAUAAAAGCGGUGCCCAUUGACACACUUACUUUGUAGAUCUGUGAUUGUGACUUCAUUAAUUUAAGCCUGUUUGAAGACAGCGGUGUUUUGCAGCUGACAGCAGCAAGGCCAGCGAGGAGCAAUCUAUUACAAAACAGGCUGUGUAGUUCACCGUGUAAUUGGGACUUGCUGCUGAGCUCCCUUCUUUGGAAGGGGAUUUCUAAAACAUUUCUUAUCACGAUUAAUAGGAGCCUGCCAAAGUGUGCCUCCUCUUCCCCUCCUACAACCCAUUCCAGUGGGAGAGCUCCCAUUUUUGCCAGCCGGUGCCAUCUGUAACCACCCCUGUGCUAACAAAAGCAUAUUCAAGCCAUAAAUUCCCAAUAAACUAAAUAUAGUCAGGGACA
Molecule: long non-coding RNA, 1860 nt
Filed under: Anas platyrhynchos platyrhynchos (common mallard)
Lineage: Eukaryota; Metazoa; Chordata; Aves; Anseriformes; Anatidae
Description: lncRNA (ENSAPLG00000029048.1)
Source: RNAcentral